Molecule: ribosomal RNA, 871 nt
Filed under: uncultured Gammaproteobacteria bacterium
Lineage: Bacteria; Pseudomonadati; Pseudomonadota; Gammaproteobacteria
Description: bacterial SSU rRNA
Rfam family: Bacterial small subunit ribosomal RNA
Source: RNAcentral
GUCGACGGUAACAGCGAGAGCUUGCUUCUCGCUGACGAGUGGCGGACGGGUGAGUACGCGUAGGAUCUGCCCCAGUAGUGGGGGACCACCCGGGAAACUUCGGGCUAUCCCGCAUACGCCUACGGGGAAAAGAUGCCCUCUCCUUGGAAGCUUGUCACUAUUGGGAUGAGCUUGCGUCGGAUUAGCUAGUUUGGUAGGGUAAAAGGCCUACCCAAGGCGACGAUCCCGUAGCUGGUCUGAGAGAACGACCCAGCCACACUGGGACUGAGACACGCCCCAGACUCUCUACGGGAGGGCAGCAGUGGGGAAUAUUGCACAAUGGGGGCACCCCUGAUGCAGCAAUGCCGCGUGUGUGAAGAAGGCUUGCGGGUUGUAAAGCACUUUCAAUUGGGAAGAAAAGAUGAGGGUGAAUAGCCCUUGUUCUUGACGUUACCUUUAGAAGAAGCACCGGCUAACUCCGUGCCAGCAGCCGCGGUAAUACGGAGGGUGCGAGCGUUAAUCGGAAUUACUGGGCGUAAAGCGCGCGUAGGCGGUUUAGUCAGUCAGAUGUGAAAGCCCUGGGCUCAACCUGGGAACUGCAUUUGAUACUGCUGAACUGGAGUAUGGUAGAGGGAAGUGGAAUUCCGGGUGUAGCGGUGAAAUGCGUAGAUAUCCGGAGGAACACCAGUGGCGAAGGCGACUUCCUGGACCAAUACUGACGCUGAGGUGCGAAAGCGUGGGUAGCAAACAGGAUUAGAUACCCUGGUAGUCCACGCUGUAAACGGUGUCAACUAGCCGUUGGGAGCUUUAUGUUCUUAGUGGCGCAGCUAACGCGAUAAGUUGACCGCCUGGGGAGUACGGCCGCAAGGUUAAAACUCAAAGGAAUUGACGG